This 346-nucleotide ribosomal RNA is filed under the name uncultured Syntrophus sp. RNAcentral's name for it is "bacterial SSU rRNA". It matches the Rfam family "Bacterial small subunit ribosomal RNA", at positions 1034 to 1382 of the family's 1533-position model. The record is from RNAcentral. Lineage: Bacteria; Pseudomonadati; Thermodesulfobacteriota; Syntrophia; Syntrophales; Syntrophaceae.
ACAGGUGCUGCAUGGCUGUCGUCAGCUCGUGUCGUGAGAUUGUUGGGUUAAGUCCCGCAACGAGCGCAACCCUUGUCUUUAAUUGCCAUCAUUCAGUUGGGCACUUUAAGAGACUGCCGGUGUUAAACCGGAGGAAGGUGGGAUGACGUCAAGUCCUCAUGGCCUUUAUGCCCAGGGCUACACACGUGCUACAAUGGGUGGUACGAAGAGAUGCAAUCUCGCAAGAGCAAGCAAACCUCAAAAAGCCAUCCUCAGUUCGGAUUGGAGUCUGCAACUCGACUCCAUGAAGUCGGAAUCGCUAGUAAUCGCGGAUCAGCACGCCGCGGUGAAUACGUUCCCGGGCCUU